CCUACGGGAGGCAGCAGUGAGGAAUAUUGGUCAAUGGUCGGGAGACUGAACCAGCCAAGCCGCGUGAGGGAUGAAGGUACAGAGUAUCGUAAACCUCUUUUGUCAGGGAACAAAGGCGGGGACGCGUCCCCGGAUGAGUGUACCUGAAGAAAAAGCAUCGGCUAACUCCGUGCCAGCAGCCGCGGUAAUACGGAGGGGGCAAGCGUUAUCCGGAAUGACUGGGCGUAAAGGGAGCGUAGGCGGUCUGAUAAGUUGGAAGUGAAAUCCCGGGGCUCAACCCCGGAACUGCUUUCAAGACUGACGGACUUGAGUGUAAGAGGGGUAAGCGGAAGUCCGGGUGUAGCGGUGGAAUGCGUAGAUAUUAGGAGGAACACCAGUGGCGAAGGCGGCUUACUGGAUUAUAACUGACGCUGAGGCUCGAAAGCGUGGGUAGCAAACAGGAUUAGAUACCCUAGUAGUC
RNAcentral lists this ribosomal RNA (460 nucleotides) under uncultured bacterium. RNAcentral's name for it is "partial 16S ribosomal RNA". It matches the Rfam family "Bacterial small subunit ribosomal RNA", at positions 338 to 795 of the family's 1533-position model. The record is from RNAcentral.